GUGGGGAAUAUUGGACAAUGGGGGGAACCCUGAUCCAGCCAUGCCGCGUGUGUGAAGAAGGCCUUUUGGUUGUAAAGCACUUUAAGCGAGGAGGAGGCUACCGAGAUUAAUACUCUUGGAUAGUGGACGUUACUCGCAGAAUAAGCACCGGCUAACUCUGUGCCAGCAGCCGCGGUAAUACAGAGGGUGCAAGCGUUAAUCGGAUUUACUGGGCGUAAAGCGCGCGUAGGUGGCUAAUUAAGUCAAAUGUGAAAUCCCCGAGCUUAACUUGGGAAUUGCAUUCGAUACUGGUUAGCUAGAGUAUGGGAGAGGAUGGUAGAAUUCCAGGUGUAGCGGUGAAAUGCGUAGAGAUCUGGAGGAAUACCGAUGGCGAAGGCAGCCAUCUGGCCUAAUACUGACACUGAGGUGCGAAAGCAUGGGGAGCAAACAGGAUUAGAAACCCGAGUAGUCC
This 451-nucleotide ribosomal RNA is filed under the name uncultured bacterium. Its description in RNAcentral is "partial 16S ribosomal RNA". It matches the Rfam family "Bacterial small subunit ribosomal RNA", at positions 354 to 796 of the family's 1533-position model. The record is from RNAcentral.